Molecule: ribosomal RNA, 754 nt
Filed under: uncultured Pseudomonadota bacterium
Lineage: Bacteria; Pseudomonadati; Pseudomonadota
Description: bacterial SSU rRNA
Rfam family: Bacterial small subunit ribosomal RNA
Source: RNAcentral
ACGGCAGCGCGGGGCAACCUGGCGGCGAGUGGCGAACGGGUGAGUAAUAUAUCGGAACGUACCCAAGAGUGGGGGAUAACGUAGCGUAAGUUACGCUAAUACCGCAUACGAUCUAAGGAUGAAAGCAGGGGAUCUUCGGACCUCGUGCUCCUGGAGCGGCCGAUAUCUGAUUAGCUAGUUGGUGAGGUAAAGGCUCACCAAGGCCACGAUCAGUAGCUGGUCUGAGAGGACGACCAGCCACACUGGAACUGAGACACGGUCCAGACUCCUACGGGAGGCAGCAGUGGGGAAUUUUGGACAAUGGGCGAAAGCCUGAUCCAGCAAUGCCGCGUGAGUGAAGAAGGCCUUCGGGUUGUAAAGCUCUUUUGUCAGGGAAGAAACGGUUUGGGCUAAUAUCCUGAGCUAAUGACGGUACCUGAAGAAUAAGCACCGGCUAACUACGUGCCAGCAGCCGCGGUAAUACGUAGGGUGCAAGCGUUAAUCGGAAUUACUGGGCGUAAAGCGUGCGCAGGCGGUUUUGUAAGUCUGACGUGAAAUCCCCGGGCUCAACCUGGGAAUUGCGUUGGAGACUGCAAGGCUAGAAUCUGGCAGAGGGGGGUAGAAUUCCACGUGUAGCAGUGAAAUGCGUAGAGAUGUGGAGGAACACCGAUGGCGAAGGCAGCCCCCUGGGUCAAGAUUGACGCUCAUGCACGAAAGCGUGGGGAGCAAACAGGAUUAGAUACCCUGGUAGUCCACGCCCUAAACGAUGUCUACU